CAACGCCGACUCAAGCCCGCCAUCGCUUCCUUCCGCGCUACUGCCCUUCUAGCCAGCCGGAGGAUGGCUCUUCUCGAUGGUCUUAACCUUUCAAUUCCAAGCAGGCUGCGCUGGGGCGUGAACGGCGGGAACCCGCUCAUGAGCAAGAAGGCGCAUGAGAGAGCCCGAGAGAGACUGAGAGCGAGCAAGCGCGCAGGAGAGACUGAGAGCAGGUGAAAGGUGUAGCACUCACCUGACCGACACCCAUAGCAUUGACCAUAUGAACCGAGCGACCUGACUGCCUUGGGUGAGUCUAGACUGCCAUCCAUGGGGCUCAUCACUGUGACUCAGCGUUUGGUCAUCCAACCAUGUGGAGAUCACUACAAUUCCACAAGUGUUCCCUGCCCGCCUUCUGCCUGUGAGGUCAACUAUCCCAUCCUGAGGACACAGGGAUCUACUAGAUGUGUUUCCAACCUUUCAGGAGAGACCACGGAGCCUGGUGAGGGAGAUACACCUGCAAAGAGAACUUCAGUGCAGUAACAGCAACGGUCAUAGCCGGUGUGUUCACGAACUCAUGAGAGAUCACACUACCAGCAUCUCCCGCUUGAUUUCCCCAACAACAAACGGCUUAUCCUGGAAAUGAUCCCUUUGGUAGGUAAGUUGGAUUCCCCUUACUGUUUCCCCCAGGCAUGCAGAGCUACAAAGCAAAUUGACACUGGUAUGUUGUGUCAGAGUGGAAUCCAAGAAUGGAAUGCCCUGCAAGUGAUGUGAUUUCUAAAGCAGUCAAUAAAUCUUUGUAAGUUUCUGGGUGAAGCAACACACAAUCCUCCCUCAGUUCACAGGGAAGUGAUGUGUAUGGAAAGAAAUCCAGUUUACUUAGGACUCUGGAAAAAGUUGUUUGCCUCCCUGUAACCUUCACCCCACAAAUGCCAGGAGCCACUUCUAGUUAUUUGAACAUCCAAAGCUGCCGUUGGAAAUGUCUAGAAUGCCCCAAAGUGCGUGAUGAUAUUCUGAUUAUAAACCACAAGUUUAGGAUUUAAAAGAAGUAUCCUAGAACUUCUUAAUUACAUCAAAAGGAUAGGAACGUUGCAGUCUGUACAGAGGAAACAGCACGGUAACAUGGGGAAGGACACAAUGUUCCCCAGGAGGGGUUGUGGGAACCUUGUUCCUCUGUGUUACUUUCGGUGAUAAGAAAAUGUUUCAAGGCCAGCUGUGGUGGGUGGUGAAGCUUCAUGUCAAAGGGCAGCCACUGCCAUAGGACACUGAUGCUCAGGAUGGUUCUGUGGUGGUCAUGACUCUGGGAUCCUGGGACGGAUGUCCUCCUUGGUGAGCACAGCCCUCUCCAGGCUGGGACAAAGGAGGAAGGGGCCAGGCUAGGUUGUCAGGCUGCCAGGGACAGCUGUCUGCUGUGAGAGAAGGAGAAGGACAGCUGAAGGGAGGAGAGGGGAGUCGAACUCCUCAGGUGAGGGGCAGAUGUCUGUUAGUGAAGGGAAGACAUUGGCCCUAAGUCCUGUCAUUGCUCUAGGCUCCUGUGGAAGGAAAUGACAGUGUAAGAAAGAAACCAAGGCUGGUGGGAGGGGGACAGUAGCUUGCAUCUCCUCCCGUCCUGUGUGUUCAAUGGUCCCUGAGAGGAGCCCAUGCCAUUUUUGGGAUCUAAAAGGUCAUUUCCUGGCACCCCUUCAUUCACUGCCCAUGAAGAGAAGGGAUUCGAGAUAAACUGAGGCCUUCAAGGAGAAAGGCCAGACAGAGUUGUGAGGCCUUCUCAAAAGUCCCUCUGCCCUACCCUUAUGGUGAGUCUCACACUGAGUUCAUCAUGUCCUGUGUUCCUGUGUACUCUAAGGUCACUCUUCUCAACCUCAUGUCUCUCCUGGGAAGAGACAGCCAGCCUUGCUACCAAAGGGAUUUAAUAAGCUUUCUGAAAGUUCCUUAGGCUGAGCAGCAAAUUUCCAGAUCCUAGGACACCAUUGUGGCCACACUACAUGAGAUUCACUGGGUGUGAUCCUGGAGUCUGCACUUUUUUUUUUGAGACAGAGUUUUGCUCUGUGCCCAGGAUGGAGUGCAUUGGCAUGAUCUCGGCUCGCUGCAACCUCCGCCUCCCCGGUUCAAGCAAUUCUCUUGCCUCAGCGUCCCAAGUAGCUGGGAAUACAGGCACAUGCCACCAUGCCCAGCUAAUUUUGUAUUUUUAGAAGAGAUGGGAUUUCUCCAUGUUUGUCAGGCUGGUCUCAAACUCGCGACUACAGAAGAUCUGCCCGCCUCAGCCUCUGGAAGUGCUAGGAUUACAGGCUUGAGCCACCGUGCCCGGCCUUGGAAUCUGCACUUUUAAGAUCCUAAGUUCUAACUUUCAUGGAAACAUGUCUGAGCAAUACUAGAGCAGGGGAAUAGUCUCCUUUCCCAGUUACACAGCUUCUUUCUCCUUUGUGAAGGUAUAGCAGGGACAGGUUCGUGUGUUCUCUGAUGUACAAACCCAAGACCUUCAGGCGAGGAGACCGACGCUGACAUGCUGCCUGUUAUGGUAAUGACACACUCAGGGCACCGUCUCCAAAUGAUACCCAGACCAAUCCUCUCAAGUCUCCAUCUCUUAAAGAUUUGUGAAGAAAUCAAAUAUCUAUUGUCUGUGAAGUCCCAUGCUGUAAAAUGCUAAAUAUUUUGCAGUGGUCUUUGGAACUUACCCUUGGUUGCACAGUGGAGUUUUCAUGAUGCCUGUGGCCCUUGGCUCCACCACUCACUGCUGGGUGAUGUGGAGAAAGUUCCUUAACAUCUCUGUGCCUUCUUUCUCCAUUAGUACCACGGAAAUACUACUAGUAACGUUGUCUACUUCUUGGGGCAGUUUAGAGCACUGACUGUGUGAAGACAUGUACAGUUGUCUGGACAGUCCCUGGCAUACGGCAUGAUGGCUCACACCUGUAAUCCCAGAAUCUUGGGUGGCCAAAGCAGGAUUGCCUGAACCCAGGGGUUUGAGACCAGCCUGGGCAACAUGGUGAGACCUUGUCUCUACAAGAAUAAAAAAGUAAGCUGGGCAUGGUGGCUCAUGGUUGUAUCCCAGCUACUCAGGAGUCUGAGGUGGGAGGAUUACUUGAGCCCAGGAAGUCAGGGCUGCAGUGAGAAAUGAAUGCACCACUACACUCUAGCCUGGGCAGUGGGAGUGAGACCCUGUCUCAGAAAAGUAAAUUCAUUUUCAUCUAAUGAAAGACUGAUGGUACUAAUAUUUUCUGAGCUACAUCAUGAGAAGUUGGUAUCAGUUUAUUCAGAUCCAGAGUGAGAAGAAACGGGCAAUGGGGAAAGAGAGUGGAGUGUGGAGGGCAGGUGAAGGUGUGCGGGAGCGGGGAGAGGGGUCUGGGGCAGACGGGGCGAGGAAUAAUGGGGAAGAGCAGAAAGCAGAAGUUCAGAGAUGUGAGAAUAAAAGCUCACGCUUCUGGAUACUUGCUAUGGGCCAGAUGAUUUUAGUGCACUCUGCUCCCACGCUUUCUCUCUCUCUCUCUCUCAUUCUCUCUCUCUCUCUCUCUCUCUCUCUCUCUCUCUCUCUCUCUUCAUUUACAUACAUUUAUUCAUCUUAGGCUAUAUAUAUAUAUGACUAUAUUUUUAAAUUAUAUGUAUGUAUAUCUAAUAACAGUCAUUUAGUGCUCAUGGCAACACUGUCAGGUGUGUGUUCCUAAUGUUACUCUCCCUUAUGACAGAAAACGAACUGUGAUACAUAGCUUAAGAGACUAAAGAACUUGCCCAAAGUCACGUCGCCAGCAAGGGCAGAGUCAGAUUGGUACCCAAGUUGGAGAGGGGCAUAUAGACAUACCCAAUCUGACCCUGACACUCUAGAAUGCACUGCAGUAUGGAAUGGUAGUCCAGAUCAGAAGACAGGUGAAAGCAUCCAGCAGCAUUUGAGAUGACAUUAUCUGUGUGUGGAUUGAACAUGAGGUCUCUUGAGUGCGUUUGAUAAUACAGGGUGGUGCGUCAUUAGCAGGAAAGCACAAAGAUGGCCUCUGGUGCAUAUCAAGCUUUCUGUAUGUGUUUCCUACCAUGGAUGUUAGCAGUGACAUCCCUGUCACUGUCAUUAUGGGAAACAGCUUUGGUAUAAUAUUAAACAAAACAGCAGAUGCAGUAUUAUAAACACACUACUUAUUCUCCAAUUGUAUAUAUUUUUUUUAAGUGCAUAGAAAAAAGCCUGUAAGGGAAUGCACCACAUAUGAAGUGUUGUUGUCUACGUGGGAAACUCUCGAUCAUUUUGAAAUAACAUUCCUUUCACGGUUUUA
This is a non-coding RNA of Callithrix jacchus (white-tufted-ear marmoset), 4223 nucleotides long. The record is from RefSeq and is a predicted model, not a curated record. Lineage: Eukaryota; Metazoa; Chordata; Mammalia; Primates; Cebidae.